This 239-nucleotide ribosomal RNA is filed under the name uncultured bacterium. RNAcentral describes it as "partial 16S ribosomal RNA". It matches the Rfam family "Bacterial small subunit ribosomal RNA", at positions 333 to 569 of the family's 1533-position model. The record is from RNAcentral.
GGCAGCCUACGGGACGCAGCAGUGAGGAAUAUUGGUCAAUGGGCGCGAGCCUGAACCAGCCAAGUAGCGUGAAGGAUGACUGCCCUACGGGUUGUAAACUUCUUUUAUAAAGGAAUAAAGUGAGGCACGUGUGCCUUUUUGUAUGUACUUUAUGAAUAAGGAUCGGCUAACUCCGUGCCAGCAGCCGCGGUAAUACGGAGGAUCCGAGCUUUAUCCGGAUUUUUUGGGUUUAAAGGGAG